RNAcentral lists this ribosomal RNA (253 nucleotides) under uncultured bacterium. Its description in RNAcentral is "partial 16S ribosomal RNA". It matches the Rfam family "Bacterial small subunit ribosomal RNA", at positions 524 to 776 of the family's 1533-position model. The record is from RNAcentral.
UACGUAGGGGGCAAGCGUUGUCCGGAAUCAUUGGGCGUAAAGAGCGUGUAGGCGGCUCGGUAAGUCCGGUGUGAAAGUCACAGGCUCAACCUGUGAAUGCCGCUGGAAACUGUCUGGCUAGAGUCCGGAAGGGGCGAGUGGAAUUCCUGGUGUAGCGGUGAAAUGCGCAGAUAUCAGGAGGAACACCAAUGGCGAAGGCAGCUCGCUGGAACGGUACUGACGCUGAGGCGCGAAAGCGUGGGGAGCGAACAGG